This 1386-nucleotide ribosomal RNA is filed under the name metagenome. RNAcentral describes it as "bacterial LSU rRNA". It matches the Rfam family "Bacterial large subunit ribosomal RNA", at positions 1538 to 2925 of the family's 2925-position model. The record is from RNAcentral.
AAAUCCGUUUCCCAUAAGGCUGAGCUGUGAUGGCGAGCGAAAUAUAGUAGCGAAGUUCCUGAUUCCACACUGCCAAGAAAAGCCUCUAGCGAGGUGAGAGGUGCCCGUACCGCAAACCGACACAGGUAGGCGAGGAGAGAAUCCUAAGGUGAUCGAGAGAACUCUCGUUAAGGAACUCGGCAAAAUGACCCCGUAACUUCGGGAGAAGGGGUGCUCUGUUAGGGUGCAAGCCCGAGAGAGCCGCAGUGAAUAGGCCCAGGCGACUGUUUAGCAAAACACAGGUCUCUGCGAAGCCGUAAGGCGAAGUAUAGGGGCUGACGCCUGCCCGGUGCUGGAAGGUUAAGAGGAGCGCUUAGCGUAAGCGAAGGUGCGAAUUGAAGCCCCAGUAAACGGCGGCCGUAACAAUAACGGUCCUAAGGUAGCGAAAUUCCUUGUCGGGUAAGUUCCGACCCGCACGAAAGGCGCAACGAUCUGGGCACUGUCUCAACGAGAGACUCGGUGAAAUUAUAGUACCUGUGAAGAUGCAGGUUACCCGCGACAGGACGGAAAGACCCCGUGGAGCUUUACUGCAGCCUGAUAUUGAAUGUUGGUACAGCUUGUACAGGAUAGGUAGGAGCCUUGGAAACCGGAGCGCCAGCUUCGGUGGAGGCAUCGGUGGGAUACUACCCUGGCUGUAUUGACCUUCUAACCCGCCGCCCUUAUCGGGCGGGGAGACAGUGUCAGGUGGGCAGUUUGACUGGGGCGGUCGCCUCCUAAAAGGUAACGGAGGCGCCCAAAGGUUCCCUCAGAAUGGUUGGAAAUCAUUCGCAGAGUGUAAAGGCACAAGGGAGCUUGACUGCGAGACCAACAAGUCGAGCAGGGACGAAAGUCGGGCUUAGUGAUCCGGUGGUUCCGCAUGGAAGGGCCAUCGCUCAACGGAUAAAAGCUACCCCGGGGAUAACAGGCUUAUCUCCCCCAAGAGUCCACAUCGACGGGGAGGUUUGGCACCUCGAUGUCGGCUCAUCGCAUCCUGGGGCUGUAGUCGGUCCCAAGGGUUGGGCUGUUCGCCCAUUAAAGCGGUACGCGAGCUGGGUUCAGAACGUCGUGAGACAGUUCGGUCCCUAUCCGUCGCGGGCGCAGGAAAUUUGAGAGGAGCUGUCCUUAGUACGAGAGGACCGGGAUGGACGCACCGCUGGUGUACCAGUUGUUCUGCCAAGGGCAUCGCUGGGUAGCUAUGUGCGGACGGGAUAAGUGCUGAAAGCAUCUAAGCAUGAAGCCCCCCUCAAGAUGAGAUUUCCCAUUCCGCAAGGAAGUAAGAUCCCUGAAAGAUGAUCAGGUUGAUAGGUCUGAGGUGGAAGUGUGGCGACACAUGGAGCUGACAGAUACUAAUCGAUCGAGGACUUAACC